Molecule: ribosomal RNA, 489 nt
Filed under: uncultured Desulfobulbaceae bacterium
Lineage: Bacteria; Pseudomonadati; Thermodesulfobacteriota; Desulfobulbia; Desulfobulbales; Desulfobulbaceae
Description: bacterial SSU rRNA
Rfam family: Bacterial small subunit ribosomal RNA
Source: RNAcentral
AACGAACGCUGGCGGCGUGCUUAACACAUGCAAGUCGAACGCGAAAGUUUUCUUCGGAAAACGAGUAGAGUGGCGCACGGGUGAGUAACGCGUAAGUAAUCUACCCUGGCAUCUGGGAUAACCCACCGAAAGGUGUGCUAAUACCGGAUACGUUGAUUUAUCAGGAAAGGUGGCCUCUUCAUGAAAGCUACCGUGCCGGGAGGAGCUUGCGUACCAUUAGCUAGUUGGUGGGGUAAUGGCCUACCAAGGCAACGAUGGUUAGCGGGUCUGAGAGGAUGAUCCGCCACACUGGAACUGAAACACGGACCAGACUCCUACGGGAGGCAGCAGUGAGGAAUAUUGCGCAAUGGGGGAAACCCUGACGCAGCGACGCCGCGUGGAUGAUGAAGGCCUUCGGGUCGUAAAAUCCUGUCAGAUGGGAAGAAAUGUCAUAUCGCUAAUACCGGUAUGGCUUGACGGUACCAUCAAAGGAAGCACCGGCUAACUCCG